GGACAUCAAUCAUAAUGGGUCAUGCUAUCAGUGGAGAAGGAGAGGAAGCUCUCCUUGCAUUUAGGCAGAUGCUUGCAGAGGAAGUUGAGCCAAAUUCUGUCACAUUCAUUGGUGUUCUAUUAGCAUGUGAUCAUUCUGGUCUAGUUGAAGUAGGUCAAAAAUUGUAUAAUACUAUGUGCAAGGUUUACAAUAUUGAGCCACAGAUUGAGCACUGUGGCUGCAUGGUUGACAUGCUCGCACGAGCAGGAAUGCUAGAGGAGGCCAAUAAGUUUGUGAAAAAAAUGCCUGUAGAACCAAAUGCAGUUAUUUGGAGGAUGAUGAUUAAUGCUUGCAGGGUACAUGGUAAUGUUGAUCUGGGUUUAAGUUUGGUUAGUAGACUAAUAGAGGCUAAGGCUUUAACAAGUACUCAAGAUCAUGUUAUUUCUUCUAACCUUUUCGCUGAAGCAGGGAGGUGGGAUGAUGUUCUCCAUGAAAGAAACACAAUGACAGCUUGGAAAGGUUCAAAAGUUGCUGGAAAAAGCUCAGUUUCAGAUUUAAGAGAUUGAGGUCUCAAGGUGGUGGUGUUGAAUGAGAUUUAUCAAUUGUUCAGUGCAAGGGUUAACGUGAGCCCUGAGUUUGUCCGUGUAUAGAUUAAGCAAGCAAAUAUGUGGCAGUGCCUUGUAUUUUGGUCUAACGCCAAAAUGCGAUAGGAGACCAUUUGGAAGACACGGAAAAGAAUGGUGGAACAAUCAAAGCUAUUGGAGGUUGUCUAAAGCUGAAAUCGGGGUCUUCGCUAAUGGGACCUAAAACAUGAUAAAAACCCAGCUGAAUUCUCGGUCGUAGAGUUUUAAUCAAC
RNAcentral lists this unclassified non-coding RNA (835 nucleotides) under Hevea brasiliensis (rubber tree). The record is from RNAcentral. Lineage: Eukaryota; Viridiplantae; Streptophyta; Magnoliopsida; Malpighiales; Euphorbiaceae.